This 554-nucleotide long non-coding RNA is filed under the name Vitis vinifera (wine grape). RNAcentral describes it as "long non-coding RNA (VVIN_LNC005649)". The record is from RNAcentral. Lineage: Eukaryota; Viridiplantae; Streptophyta; Magnoliopsida; Vitales; Vitaceae.
AAUUUUGAAAAUGGAGAUGACAAAUAAACAUAACCCAACCACAGCCAUGCCAACAUGUAGAAGGUGCAAGUAGUUGAUACAUAAAUCAAUGGAGGGUCAAUGAGAAAGAAAGAAAGAGCAUGAGGGUGUCAAUCAUACAUGACAUGGAGCCCAUGCAUUGCCCUCUAACCUUCAUUUUAAUUUAUGGCAACCCAACUAGUUAGCCAAUUCUAUUAUUUGUAGAGCUUUGAUUACUUUCUUGGUGUAGAAGAUGGUCUCUCAGGCGGAGGUGGUUUGUUAGCAAUGGGAGGCGGGGGAGGGCUCUGCAUCUCUCUGAAAAUUCUCCUUCCAUGGGGAUCUGCAAAAGCUAGAAGAAAGGUUGAGAGAUCAAAAGUUUAGGCAUGCAAUAAGCUGCUAGAUAUUAACAUAUAUAUGAGAAAAAUGAUACCAACCUGACAUGCCCUGGGCCACAUGAAUUGUGAAGAUUGAAGCAAUCAAGAUGACUAGAAUCAUCCAACGAAAGAAAGAAGCUAGACCCAUGUUGACUCUUGAAUCGAAUUGCCUCUGACUGAUCU